AACGCGACCUUAACCUGCUUGCUAUCCUGUCUUGCUUUGGCAGUACGCUGGCUUCUUAGAGGGACUAUCGGCUCAAGCCGAUGGAAGUUUGAGGCAAUAACAGGUCUGUGAUGCCCUUGGAUGUUCUGGGCCUUUUGUUUUCUACACUGACGGAGCCAGCGAGUACUUCCUUGGCCGAAAGGCCCGGGUAAUCUUGGUAUACUC
RNAcentral lists this ribosomal RNA (204 nucleotides) under Nectriaceae sp. RNAcentral's name for it is "partial small subunit ribosomal RNA". It matches the Rfam family "Eukaryotic small subunit ribosomal RNA", at positions 1334 to 1562 of the family's 1831-position model. Lineage: Eukaryota; Fungi; Ascomycota; Sordariomycetes; Hypocreales; Nectriaceae. The record is from RNAcentral.